AAGAUGUCAUUUAAGCGGACGCUGUAUCGGCGGCGAGGUAGAUUUUUCCAGGAAAGUUUCCUUUAAAAAUAAGUGAAAUUCCCCUCCAGAAAUUUACAAGCUUUGAAACUGCAUGUUUCCGUACUUCUGAAACAGGUAACAAUGUAAAAGGUAUAACAACAACGAUGCAGAAGGUCAUAGCGGCUACUACAUUCUGAGCUCAUCAUCUACAUCCUCAAUGGUAAAACCUUUGUGAAGAAUGCUGAAAUCCACGCCUCUUACCUUUUCAAAGCAGAUGCCUAUUAGAAAGGCAACAGCUCAUGUGAUAAAGCAGGGAAAGUUUAACAAGCUGAAGAUUUUGAAUCCAUAAAAAAAUGUAAGGUUUUGGAGUGUAUCCUUGUUUCACUUUGAAAGUUUUAUUUA
Long non-coding RNA from Erpetoichthys calabaricus (reedfish), 402 nucleotides. RefSeq lists it as uncharacterized. The record is from RefSeq and is a predicted model, not a curated record. NCBI's taxonomy places the organism in Eukaryota, Metazoa, Chordata, Cladistia, Polypteriformes, Polypteridae. The transcript has 3 exons.